This is a non-coding RNA of Notechis scutatus (mainland tiger snake), 114 nucleotides long. The record is from RefSeq and is a predicted model, not a curated record. Lineage: Eukaryota; Metazoa; Chordata; Lepidosauria; Squamata; Elapidae.
CAGAUGUUUAUAAGAGACAUGUAAAUAGGGAGAUUGGUAUUAAGGUAGAAGGAAGGUAGCUAGCUCGAAUUACUAAUCAAAGGGGACAAAUUUGAAUUAAUAGAAUAAGGACUG